UUGAGCUUGAUCCUGGCUCAGAUUGAACGCUGGCGGCAGGCCUAACACAUGCAAGUCGAGCGGCAGCACGAGAAAGCUUGCUUUCUUGGUGGCGAGCGGCGGACGGGUGAGUAAUACAUGGGAAUCUGCCCGAUAGUGGGGGACAACGUUUCGAAAGGAACGCUAAUACCGCAUACGUCCUACGGGAGAAAGCAGGCUUAGGCUUGCGCUAUCGGAUGAGCCCAUGUCGGAUUAGCUUGUUGGUGAGGUAAUGGCUCACCAAGGCGACGAUCCGUAACUGGUCUGAGAGGAUGAUCAGUCACACCGGAACUGAGACACGGUCCGGACUCCUACGGGAGGCAGCAGUGGGGAAUAUUGGACAAUGGGGGCAACCCUGAUCCAGCCAUGCCGCGUGUGUGAAGAAGGCCUUCGGGUUGUAAAGCACUUUCAGCGAGGAGGAAAGCAGUAAGGUUAAUACCCUUAUUGUGUGACGUACUCGCAG
This 481-nucleotide ribosomal RNA is filed under the name Oceanospirillaceae bacterium S-C56. RNAcentral's name for it is "bacterial SSU rRNA". It matches the Rfam family "Bacterial small subunit ribosomal RNA", at positions 1 to 484 of the family's 1533-position model. Lineage: Bacteria; Pseudomonadati; Pseudomonadota; Gammaproteobacteria; Oceanospirillales; Oceanospirillaceae. The record is from RNAcentral.